GCUACAGGCUUAACACAUGCAAGUCGAGGGGUAGCACGGAAGAAGCUUGCUUCUUUGGGUGACGACCGGCGCACGGGUGAGUAACGCGUAUCCGACCUACCCAUUACUCGGGCACAGCCGCUCGAAAGAGUGAUUGAUUCCCGAUAUGUAUAAUAAGUAGAUUAUUGUAUGAAAGAUUUAUCGGUAAUGGAUGGGGAUGCGUAAGAUUAGGUAGUAGGCGGGGUAACGGCCCACCUAGCCGACGAUCUUUAGGGGUUCUGAGAGGAAGGUCCCCCACACUGGUACUGAGACACGGACCAGACUCCUACGGGAGGCAGCAGUGAGGAAUAUUGGUCAAUGGACGCAAGUCUGAACCAGCCAAGUAGCGUGAAGGAUGACUGCCCUAUGGGUUGUAAACUUCUUUUGCCGUAGAACAAAACAUGCCACGUGUGGCAUUUUGCGUGUAUACGUUGAAUAAGCAUCGGCUAACUCCGUGCCAGCAGCCGCGGUAAUACGGAGGAUGCGAGCGUUAUCCGGAUUUAUUGGGUUUAAAGGGAGCGUAGGUGGUUUGAUAAGCCAGCUGUGAAAUACUGCCGCUCAACGGCAGCCGUGCAGUUGGAACUGUCAGACUUGAGUGUACGGGAGGAAAGUGGAAUUCGUGGUGUAGCGGUGAAAUGUUUAGAUAUCACG
This 669-nucleotide ribosomal RNA is filed under the name uncultured Bacteroidota bacterium. Its description in RNAcentral is "bacterial SSU rRNA". It matches the Rfam family "Bacterial small subunit ribosomal RNA", at positions 39 to 701 of the family's 1533-position model. Lineage: Bacteria; Pseudomonadati; Bacteroidota. The record is from RNAcentral.